This 492-nucleotide ribosomal RNA is filed under the name uncultured bacterium. RNAcentral describes it as "partial 16S ribosomal RNA". It matches the Rfam family "Bacterial small subunit ribosomal RNA", at positions 29 to 507 of the family's 1533-position model. The record is from RNAcentral.
AGUGAACGCUGGCGGUAGGCCUAACACAUGCAAGUCGAACGGCAGCACAGUAAGAGCUUGCUCUUACGGGUGGCGAGUGGCGGACGGGUGAGGAAUACAUCGGAAUCUACUUUUUCGUGGGGGAUAACGUAGGGAAACUUACGCUAAUACCGCAUACGACCUACGGGUGAAAGCAGGUGAUCUUCGGACCUUGCGCGAUUGAAUGAGCCGAUGUCGGAUUAGCUAGUUGGCGGGGUAAAGGCCCACCAAGGCGACGAUCCGUAGCUGGUCUGAGAGGAUGAUCAGCAAAACUGGAACUGAGACACGGUCCAGACUCCUACGGGAGGCAGCAGUGGGGAAUAUUGGACAAAGGGCGCAAGCAUGAUACAGCCAUACCGCGUUGGUGAAGAAGGACUUCGGGUUGUAAAGCCCUUUUGUUGGGAAAGAAAAGAAGCAGGUUAAUACCCCGCUGUUCUGACGGUACCCAAAGAAUAAGCACCGGCUAACUUCGUG